Molecule: non-coding RNA, 77 nt
Organism: Acanthosepion pharaonis
Lineage: Eukaryota; Metazoa; Mollusca; Cephalopoda; Sepiida; Sepiidae
Source: the annotation of a GenBank genome assembly
AUCACUGAAGUUAAGCAAUGCUGAGCCUGAUCAGUACCUAGAUGGGUGACCACUUGGGAAUACCAGGUGCUGUAAGC